UACGGAGGGGGCUAGCGUUGUUCGGAAUUACUGGGCGUAAAGCGCGCGUAGGCGGCUUCGCAAGUCAGAGGUGAAAGACUGGGGCUCAACCCCAGAACUGCCUUUGAGACUGCGUCGCUCGAAUCCGGGAGAGGUGAGUGGAAUUCCGAGUGUAGAGGUGAAAUUCGUAGAUAUUCGGAAGAACACCAGUGGCGAAGGCGGCUCACUGGACCGGCAUUGACGCUGAGGUGCGAAAGCGUGGGGAGCAAACAGG
Molecule: ribosomal RNA, 253 nt
Filed under: uncultured bacterium
Lineage: Bacteria
Description: partial 16S ribosomal RNA
Rfam family: Bacterial small subunit ribosomal RNA
Source: RNAcentral